Molecule: ribosomal RNA, 3140 nt
Filed under: Triticum aestivum (bread wheat)
Lineage: Eukaryota; Viridiplantae; Streptophyta; Magnoliopsida; Poales; Poaceae
Description: partial small subunit ribosomal RNA
Source: RNAcentral
ACAGAGGGAGGUACCGCGCUCCGAUGAAGACGGCAGGAGGAGCCAUGUCCGGACUUCUCUUCUUCCUCUUCCUCUGUCUCUUCUCCUUCUUCACUGCCUCUGCCUCUACCAAGCAAGGCCAGGUCUAUAUAGUGUAUCUGGGCGAGCACGCCGGAGCGAAGUCGAAGGGGGCGAUCCUUGAUGACCACCAUGCCCUCCUCCUCUCCGUCAAGGGCAGCGAGGAGGAGGCACGGGCGUCGCUGCUGUACAGCUACAAGCACACCCUGAAUGGCUUCGCGGCUCUUCUCUCCGAGGAAGAAGCCACAAAGCUUUCAGAGAAGACUGAGGUAGUGUCUACCUUUCGGAGCGACGGGAGGUGGUCCCCCCACACCACGAGGUCUUGGGAGUUUGUGGGCUUGGAGGAAGGGCUCAGCAAGGGCUGGCAGCCGUCCGGCGCUCACGCCGGCGAGAAUGUCAUCGUAGGCAUGCUGGACUCCGGGAUCUGGCCGGAGUCGAGGAGCUUCAGCGACGAGGGGCUAGGACCAGUGCCCGCGCGGUGGAAGGGAGUGUGCCAAGGAGGAGAUUCCUUCAAUUCCUCCGCCUGCAAUAGGAAGGUCAUCGGCGCGCGGUGCUACCUCAAGGCGUACGAGGCCCACCACGGCAGGCUGAACACCACCAACGCGUACCGCUCGCCGCGCGACCACGACGGCCACGGCACCCACACCGCGUCCACCGUCGCGGGCCGCACCGUGCCGGGCGUGGCCGCGCUCGGCGGGUUCGCGGCCGGCACGGCCUCGGGCGGCGCGCCGCUCGCCCGCCUCGCCAUCUACAAGGUGUGCUGGCCCAUACCGGGGCCCAACCCCAACAUCGAGAACACCUGCUUCGACGCCGACAUGCUCGCUGCCAUGGACGACGCGGUCGGCGAUGGCGUCGACGUGAUGAGCAUCUCCAUCGGGGCCACCGGGAAGCCGCCCCGGCUACCGGACGACGGCAUCGCCGUGGGCGCGCUGCACGCCGCCAGGCGCGGCGUGGUCGUCGUGUGCAGCGGUGGGAACUCUGGCCCCGCGCCGGCCACCGUGUCCAACCUUGCGCCGUGGAUACUCACGGUGGGCGCCAGCAGCAUCGACCGCUCUUUCAACUCCCCGAUCAGGCUUGGCAAUGGCAUGGUGAUCAUGGGACAAACGGUAACACCAUAUCAGCUGCCGGCGAACAGGACGUAUCCAAUAGUUUAUGCAGCACACGCCGUGGUUCCUGGCACUGCCGCCAACGUUACCAACCAAUGCCUGCCAAAUUCACUCUCGCCAAAGAAGGUGCGAGGCAAAAUCGUGGUGUGCUUGAGGGGGAGCGGCCUGAGGGUGGGCAAAGGCCUGGAGGUGAAGCGGGCGGGCGGCGCGGCGAUCGUGCUCGGCAACCCGCCGAUGUACGGCAGCGAGGUCCCCGUCGACGCGCACGUGCUCCCGGGAACGGCAGUCUCCAUGACCAACGUUAACACCAUCCUCAAGUACAUAAACUCCAGCUCGAACCCAACCGCUUACCUGGACCGCUCGAGGACAGUCGUGGACGUGAAGCCGUCUCCGUUGAUGGCGCAGUUCUCGUCGCGUGGCCCCAACGUCCUCGAGCCCAGCAUUCUCAAGCCUGACGUUACGGCGCCAGGGCUGAACAUCCUGGCGGCGUGGAGCGAGGCGUCGUCGCCCACAAAGCUCGACGGCGACAAUCGCGUGGUGAAGUACAACAUCAUCUCCGGGACAUCCAUGUCGUGCCCGCACGUCUCCGCCACCGCCGUUCUCCUCAAGUCAGCCCACCCCGACUGGAGCGCCGCCGCAAUCCGAUCAGCCAUCAUGACCACCGCAACAGCAAACAACGCGGAAGGCGGCCCAAUAAUGAACGCGGACGGAACGGUGGCGGGGCCCAUGGACUACGGCUCGGGCCACAUCAGGCCCAGGCACGCGCUGGACCCGGGCCUGGUGUACGACGCGUCCUUCCAGGACUACCUCCUCUACGCCUGCGCGAGCGGCGGCGCUCAGCUGGACCGCUCGUUCCCGUGCCCGGCGAGCCCGCCGCGUCCGUACGAGCUCAACUACCCUUCCGUCGCCAUCCACGGCCUCAAUGGGUCCACCACCGUGCACCGGACGGUGACCAACGUCGGCGAGCACGGGGCUCAUUACAGGGUCGCCGUGGUCGAGCCCAUGGGCUUCUCCGUGAAGGUCUCGCCGACGAGCCUCGCCUUCGCACGUACCGGGGAGAAGAAGAGCUUCACGAUAAAGAUCGAAGCGACGGGGAAGAGAAGUCGGCGUCUGAAGAGGAAAUAUCUUGCAGGCUCGUACACGUGGAGCGACGGAGUCCACGCUGUGAGGAGCCCCGUCGUUGUUCUCGUCGCGUGAUCGUUCGUUCUUGCCAUUACUGGCCAAUUUGAAGAAUAGAUGAACACGUACAAGACUAUUGUGAAAUCUAUCGAAGUCACCAGUCAAAACUACUCCGUCGUUGUGCAUAUGCUAUACGCCAAAAGGAUGGUGGGUUCGUGUCCCGUUAUGGAGUCUCAGGAUGCCAAUGGCUGCGCGCAUCGGCAUCCUUAUCCACACCGUGCGUGCGCCACCGUCAGUUUUCACCGGCGCCCGUGGCCUGCAGGCCAACCACACUCAUUGUCCAAACUGCGCGGCGUUACAGGUGUAUGACCGGCAGCAGUAGUUCACGCCAACACGACACAGUCCGCGUGCUUUCGUGCAUGCUGCCACAGUAGAAAGCCGUGGACGCGGGACUCGUCACUAGAGUCCAGGAUCACAGGAUAUACCAAGAGCCCACGCAUGUACGGAGCGCUGGUAGCCUGUCUUUUUCCACUCCAACGCGCGGUGAAAAUUCAGAGGCUGCUUGGAUAUUCGCUGUCGACGUAAAGUUCACGAAAACGAUGGGAAAGGGUGAUGCUCCACUUUGUAUUCACUUGCACAAGAUUUUUACCAAGUUCAUAUACCUAGUACGCAUAUACCUAGUACUGCAGUAACAUGCAUGGUCCUUCAGUGUAAUUUCUGAAAGAAAAAGAGAGCUGCCAGAAACUUUCGGCGCGAUGAUUUGGUGUCGGGAUUUCUCAGUUCGUAGUGUCUGAACCCAUCAAUAACAAGCUUACACAGGCUUGCCAGCACUUGGAACUUUUGUUGAACUAGUUAAGC